Molecule: ribosomal RNA, 465 nt
Filed under: uncultured Klebsiella sp.
Lineage: Bacteria; Pseudomonadati; Pseudomonadota; Gammaproteobacteria; Enterobacterales; Enterobacteriaceae
Description: bacterial SSU rRNA
Rfam family: Bacterial small subunit ribosomal RNA
Source: RNAcentral
CCUACGGGCGGCUGCAGUGGGGAAUAUUGCACAAUGGGCGCAAGCCUGAUGCAGCCAUGCCGCGUGUGUGAAGAAGGCCUUCGGGUUGUAAAGCACUUUCAGCGGGGAGGAAGGCGGUGAGGUUAAUAACCUCAUCGAUUGACGUUACCCGCAGAAGAAGCACCGGCUAACUCCGUGCCAGCAGCCGCGGUAAUACGGAGGGUGCAAGCGUUAAUCGGAAUUACUGGGCGUAAAGCGCACGCAGGCGGUCUGUCAAGUCGGAUGUGAAAUCCCCGGGCUCAACCUGGGAACUGCAUUCGAAACUGGCAGGCUAGAGUCUUGUAGAGGGGGGUAGAAUUCCAGGUGUAGCGGUGAAAUGCGUAGAGAUCUGGAGGAAUACCGGUGGCGAAGGCGGCCCCCUGGACAAAGACUGACGCUCAGGUGCGAAAGCGUGGGGAGCAAACAGGAUUAGAUACACGGGUAGUC